CCUACGGGAGGCAGCAGUAGGGAAUCUUCCGCAAUGGACGAAAGUCUGACGGAGCAACGCCGCGUGAGUGACGAAGGCUUUCGGGUCGUAAAACUCUGUUGUUAGGGAAGAACAAGUGCUAGUUGAAUAAGCUGGCACCUUGACGGUACCUAACCAGAAAGCCACGGCUAACUACGUGCCAGCAGCCGCGGUAAUA
Molecule: ribosomal RNA, 196 nt
Filed under: uncultured Bacillus sp.
Lineage: Bacteria; Bacillati; Bacillota; Bacilli; Caryophanales; Bacillaceae
Description: partial 16S ribosomal RNA
Rfam family: Bacterial small subunit ribosomal RNA
Source: RNAcentral